Molecule: ribosomal RNA, 519 nt
Filed under: uncultured bacterium
Lineage: Bacteria
Description: bacterial SSU rRNA
Rfam family: Bacterial small subunit ribosomal RNA
Source: RNAcentral
AGGACGAACGCUGGCGGCGUGCCUAAUACAUGCAGGUCGAACGGCUUUUCUAUGGAAGCUUGCUUCCACUGAGAAGAUAGUGGCGAACGGGUGAGUAACACGUGGGUAACCUGCCCAUAAGAGGGGGAUAACAUCCGGAAACGGGUGCUAAUACCGCAUAGUUUUCUUGAUCGCAUGAUCGGGAAAGGAAAGACGGCCUUUGUGCUGUCGCUUAUGGAUGGACCCGCGGCGUAUUAGUUAGUUGGUGAGGUAACGGCUCACCAAGACGAUGAUACGUAGCCGACCUGAGAGGGUGAUCGGCCACAUUGGGACUGAGACACGGCCCAAACUCCUACGGGAGGCAGUAGUAGGGAAUCUUCCGCAAUGGACGAAAGUCUGACGGAGCAACGCCGCGUGAGUGAAGAAAGGUUUUCGGAUCGUAAAACUCUGUUGUCAGAGAAGAACAAGUUGGAGAGUAACUGCUCCAGCCUUGACGGUAUCUGACCAGAAAGCCACGGCUAACUACGUGCCAGCCGCUGC